Molecule: ribosomal RNA, 865 nt
Filed under: uncultured bacterium
Lineage: Bacteria
Description: bacterial SSU rRNA
Rfam family: Bacterial small subunit ribosomal RNA
Source: RNAcentral
UAAAGGGUGCGCAGGCGGAACUUUAAGUCAGUGGUGAAAUACUGCAGCUCAACCUGUAGAAUUGCCAUUGAUACUGUCAUUCUUGAGUAUAGAUGAGGUAGGCGGAAUGAGUAGUGUAGCGGUGAAAUGCAUAGAUAUUACUCAGAACACCAAUUGCGAAGGCAGCUUACUAAACUAUAACUGACGCUGAAGCACGAAAGCGUGGGUAUCAAACAGGAUUAGAUACCCUGGUAGUCCACGCCGUAAACGAUGAUUACUGGUUGUUUGCGAUACACAGUAAGCGACUGAGCGAAAGCAUUAAGUAAUCCACCUGGGGAGUACGUUGGCAACAAUGAAACUCAAAGGAAUUGACGGGGGCCCGCACAAGCGGUGGAACAUGUGGUUUAAUUCGAUGAUACGCGAGGAACCUUACCUGGGCUUAAAUGGGGAGUGACAGGGGUAGAAAUACCCUUUUCUUCGGACACUCUUCAAGGUGCUGCAUGGUUGUCGUCAGCUCGUGCCGUGAGGUGUCGGGUUAAGUCCCAUAACGAGCGCAACCCCUGUUGUCAGUUACCAUCACGUAAAGGUGGGGACUCUGACAAGACUGCCGGUGUAAACCGCGAGGAAGGUGGGGAUGACGUCAAAUCAGCACGGCCCUUACGUCCAGGGCUACACACGUGUUACAAUGGCCAGUACAAAGGGCAGCUACACAGCAAUGUGAUGCUAAUCUCGAAAACUGGUCCCAGUUCGGAUUGGAGUCUGCAACCCGACUUCAUGAAGCUGGAAUCGCUAGUAAUCGCGCAUCAGCCAUGGCGCGGUGAAUACGUUCCCGGGCCUUGUACACACCGCCCGUCAAGCCAUGGAAGCCGGGAGUACCUGAAGUAUG